CUGAAUUUUGACGUAAUUUCUUUUGAUGUAGCUAGCAGGUGGCAGAGGUGUAUUUGAAAGUCGGCAGUACCCUGACAGCGAUUAGAAUGUCCUCCGUCUGCUAGUCUUCUUGAUUCUUAAAUUCUGUGGAGCUCAAAUAGACAAUAAAGCUUUGUGGAACUCAUUAAGUGUUAGCAUAAAUAUCUAGCCUUUAUCAUCUUGAGCCCCCUUAAUAAAUAUUACUCUCUAUUUUUAUAUUUUCAUUUUAUAAAGUAGAAAAGAAAUAUUUAUUUUAUUUUUAUGCCACCACAGUGGAUGUACUUAUGGGUUUCGUGCCACUCGUAUACUCACAUGGGGCUUACUAUUUUUUAACAUUUUUAUUUUCUUUUUAGGAUAGCAUGAACACGAUUAACUGAGCAAACUAUUUUAAAUAAUUGAAAAGAAAAGGAUAACUACCAAGUUUACCUCUUGGCAAGGCGUUCGGCGUUUUUAAGUCCUCCGAACGGGAUUCUCCGUUUUCUAAAUUGUCCUGGGAUUCGUUGGGUGGCGGAGUCGGUACUUCCGGCGGUGCCUCCUCUUCAUGUAUAGUAAUCUUCUCUUGCCAUACCUGACUCGGUGCUACGGUCUCCUCUGGAUAAUUCUGUUUAAACUGUAUGUCUUCUGACCUUACCACUUCUCCUUCAUAGUCUACCAUCCGUCCUUGAUAAUUUCCCUCCUCUGGUUGUGGUUGCGUCGUUUUCUGGCCUGCUUAGAGUCUUCAACGAUAUUGUUAGGGUCAGUAAAAUAGCGGCGUACCUUCUCUGAGGGGAAGUGCAUAUGGAUUUCUCCAGUUCCAAUGUAGAUGAUUGCUUUAACGGUGCUGAGGAACGGUCUUCCAAGGAUGAUGGGUGGAUCGUACUCGUCUUCUCCCAUGUCAAUAACCUAAAAGUCUGUGUAGACAAAAUGAUCGUCUAUUUUGACAGGGACAUCAGUUACCAUCCCUUUAACCUCUCAAAAUGUCUGGUCUGCCAUCUAGAGCUGAAUGUAUGUUGGUUUCAGGGGCAUGGUUCCGAACAAGAGCCGAUAGGUGACUGCGGCCAUUAUGUUGACGCCCGAUCCGGUGUCACAAGUCGUCUUGUAGAAGUUGUAUCCAUU
RNAcentral lists this long non-coding RNA (1113 nucleotides) under Sorghum bicolor (sorghum). RNAcentral's name for it is "long non-coding RNA (SBIC_LNC006495)". Lineage: Eukaryota; Viridiplantae; Streptophyta; Magnoliopsida; Poales; Poaceae. The record is from RNAcentral.